UGCAGCAUGUGUGUGUCUCUGUUGAACUGCUGGACAAAGACUUAAAGACAGGUGCAAAAGGCAAUUCUCUUUUGCAACCUGGAACUCUCUCGUCAGAAUGAGUUUUGAUAUGUGUAGAAGGAGUCCA
Molecule: small nucleolar RNA, 127 nt
Filed under: Neotoma lepida (desert woodrat)
Lineage: Eukaryota; Metazoa; Chordata; Mammalia; Rodentia; Cricetidae
Description: Small nucleolar RNA SNORA40
Rfam family: Small nucleolar RNA SNORA40
About the family: The snoRNA ACA 40 belongs to the H/ACA family of snoRNAs and guides the pseudouridylation of 28S rRNA subunit at position U4565. NB This family has a high threshold value to exclude a large number of closely related sequences that do not appear to have conserved H and ACA boxes, and may be pseudogenes.
Source: Rfam by way of RNAcentral